Molecule: ribosomal RNA, 977 nt
Filed under: Phyllocoptruta sp. 28sd2-5r106
Lineage: Eukaryota; Metazoa; Arthropoda; Arachnida; Trombidiformes; Eriophyidae
Description: partial 28S ribosomal RNA
Rfam family: Eukaryotic large subunit ribosomal RNA
Source: RNAcentral
AAAUAGAACUUUGCAGAGAGAGUUAAGAGGGCGUGAAACCGUUAAUUGGCAAACGAAUCGGAGCCACGAAGUCGUUUCGUUGAAUUAAUCAGUACAAGUUCAGUUUAACAUACACAAACAUGUUGAGCGUACUCUUGAGCGCUGAUCAAUCGUUGUAAACGUACACUGCAACCAGUUAGACAAUUGGCGAUGGGCAUAGUUAGUUUAGUGAAGUAAGCUUUAAACCUUGUUUUGUUAGAUUAACGAAGCAUUUGUUUGUUCAAGUUAGUAGUAGUGCUGUUGUAACUUGUUACUUCUUGUGCUGCUGAAUUUGUUACAAGUGAGCUAUAGCCAAAUACUGACUGGUAAAAUAAAAAUCAUUCGCGAGAAUGUUUCCAGAAAAAGCAACUCUCCAUUUAAAUGUCUACACUCUUCAACCGUAGGGUUUAAGCUCAGCAUUUUUGAAUUUGAACUUGCUUGCUACCAAUGGGGCAACUCUUGGUGCUUGUAUAGCUUUCAUCUAAUCGGGUGUUGACUUGAUUUUAUGCUUGUUUGGAGGUGCUAUGAUUGGAUGUUUAAAUGAGUGUUAGUUUGCCAAUUCAUUUGCAGUGAGUAGGUCGGCUUUCCGAACGACCCGUCUUGAAACACGGACCAAGGAGUCUAAUUAGGCAUCAGUCGAUCAGUCUUGAUAGGCUAGAAGGGGGCAAAUAGUUUCGGCUUUUAACCCCAAGCGAAGGCGUAGAGAAAUCAAACCAUGUGAUCGUUUAAGCUCAUACACAAUGGCUUUUAUGCGCAACAUGUGCCUGCUCAAUAUAGUAAUGUGCCUUAAAACACUUGCUGGGCGGAGUAAAGAGAUGCUUGAUUGGUACCCGAAAGAUGGUGAACUAUGCUUGGGCAAAUUGAAGCCAGAGGAAACUCUGGUGGAGGAUUGUAGCGAUUCUGACGUGCAAAUCGAUCGUCAGACCUGAGUAUAGGGGCGAAAGACUAAUCGAACCAUC